GAUGAACGCUGGCGGCGUGCCUAAUACAUGCAAGUCGAGCGAACGGACGAGAAGCUUGCUUCUCUGAUGUUAACGGCGGACGGAUGAGUAACACGUGCAUAACAUACCUAUAAGACUGGGAUAACUUCGGGAAACCGGAGCUAAUACCGGAUGAUAUUUUGAACCGCAGGGUUCAAAAGUGCAAGACGGUCUUGAUGUCACUUAUAGCUGUAUCCGUGCUGCGUUAGCGAGUUGGUAAGGAAACGGCUUACCAAGGCAACGAUGCAUAGCCGACCUGCGAGGGUGAUGAGGCCCACUGGGAGUGAGACGCGGUCCAGAGUCCUAGGGAAGGCAGCAAUACGGAAUCGGGGGAGAGGGGCGAAAGCCUGACGAAGCAGCGCCACGUGAGUGAUGAAGGGCUUCGGGUGGGAAAACGCUGUUAUUGGUGAAGAACAUAUUUGUAAGGGACUAUGCUCAUCGUGACGGUACCUAAUGAAAAAGCCCCGGCUAACUACGUG
RNAcentral lists this ribosomal RNA (497 nucleotides) under uncultured bacterium. Its description in RNAcentral is "partial 16S ribosomal RNA". It matches the Rfam family "Bacterial small subunit ribosomal RNA", at positions 28 to 507 of the family's 1533-position model. The record is from RNAcentral.